This 207-nucleotide ribosomal RNA is filed under the name uncultured bacterium. Its description in RNAcentral is "partial 16S ribosomal RNA". It matches the Rfam family "Bacterial small subunit ribosomal RNA", at positions 568 to 774 of the family's 1533-position model. The record is from RNAcentral.
UGCGCAGGCGGUUAUAUAAGUCAGAUGUGAAAUCCCCGGGCUCAACCUGGGAACUGCAUUUGAGACUGUAUAGCUAGAGUACGGUAGAGGGGGAUGGAAUUCCGCGUGUAGCAGUGAAAUGCGUAGAUAUGCGGAGGAACACCGAUGGCGAAGGCAAUCCCCUGGACCUGUACUGACGCUCAUGCACGAAAGCGUGGGGAGCAAACA